ACUGGAGGAAGGUGGGGAUGACGUCAAGUCCUCAUGGCCCUUACGGGCUGGGCUACACACGUGCUACAAUGGUGGUGACAGUGGGCAGCGAGACAGCGAUGUCGAGCUAAUCUCCAAAAGCCAUCUCAGUUCGGAUUGCACUCUGCAACUCGAGUGCAUGAAGUUGGAAUCGCUAGUAAUCGCAGAUCAGCAUGCUGCGGUGAAUACGUUCCCGGGCCUUGUACACACCGCCCGUCACACCAUGGGAGUUGGUUUUACCCGAAGGUAGUGCGCUAACCGCAAGGAGGCAGCUAACCACGGUAGGGUCAGCGACUGGGGUGAAGUCGUAAACAACGUGGCC
RNAcentral lists this ribosomal RNA (340 nucleotides) under Agrobacterium tumefaciens. Its description in RNAcentral is "bacterial SSU rRNA". It matches the Rfam family "Bacterial small subunit ribosomal RNA", at positions 1162 to 1501 of the family's 1533-position model. The record is from RNAcentral. Lineage: Bacteria; Pseudomonadati; Pseudomonadota; Alphaproteobacteria; Hyphomicrobiales; Rhizobiaceae.